Molecule: ribosomal RNA, 600 nt
Filed under: Conticribra weissflogii
Lineage: Eukaryota; Bacillariophyta; Thalassiosirophyceae; Thalassiosirales; Thalassiosiraceae
Description: partial Bacterial large subunit ribosomal RNA
Rfam family: Bacterial large subunit ribosomal RNA
Source: RNAcentral
CCGAACUCACGCCUGUUGAAAAAGUCGGAGAUGAGGUGUGGAUAGGAGUGAAAGGCUAAUCAAGGCGGGUGAUAGCUGGUUCUCCUCGAAAGCUAUUGAGGUAGCGCCUCGCGUCUAACUCAGGGGGGUAGAGCACUGUUACGGCUAGGGGGGACAUAAGUCCUUACCAAACCGUUGCAAACUCCGAAUACCCUGAAGUUCAAUCGCGGGAGACACACGGUGGGAGCUAAAUUUCAUCGUGAAGAGGGAAACAACCCAGACCGCCAGCUAAGGUCCCUAAAAUUGGCUAAGUGGGAAACGAAGUGGGAAGGCUAUAACAGUCAGGAUGUUGGCUUAGAAGCAGCCAUCCUUUAAAGAAAGCGUAAUAGCUCACUGGUCGAGUCGGUCUGCGCGGAAGAUGUAACGGGGCUAAGCGAUGUACCGAAGCUGCGGGUGCAUAGCAAUAUGCGCGGUAGAGGAGCGUUCCGUAAGCCUGCGAAGGUGACUCGUAAGGGUUGCUGGAGGUAUCGGAAGUGCGAAUGCUGACAUGAGUAACGAUAAUGCAGGUGAAAAACCUGCACGCCGUAAGCCCAAGGUUUCCUGCGCAACGAUUUUCGGCGC